Molecule: ribosomal RNA, 254 nt
Filed under: uncultured bacterium
Lineage: Bacteria
Description: partial 16S ribosomal RNA
Rfam family: Bacterial small subunit ribosomal RNA
Source: RNAcentral
UACGAAGGGGGCUAGCGUUGCUCGGAAUUACUGGGCGUAAAGGGCGCGUAGGCGGCACUGUUAGUCAGGCGUGAAAGUCCUGGGCUCAACCUGGGAACUGCGCUUGAUACGGCAGAGCUAGAGGAUGGAAGAGGCUCGCGGAAUUCCCAGUGUAGAGGUGAAAUUCGUAGAUAUUGGGAAGGACACCGGUGGCGAAGGCGGCGAGCUGGUCCAUUACUGACGCUGAGGCGCGACAGCGUGGGGGAGCAAACAGG